AAAUACUUUGCAGAACUAUGGUGAGC
RNAcentral lists this non-coding RNA (26 nucleotides) under Rattus norvegicus (Norway rat). The record is from RNAcentral. Lineage: Eukaryota; Metazoa; Chordata; Mammalia; Rodentia; Muridae.